ACGAGCACGAGUUCAUCUCCUUGUCCGAAGGUCUGGGUAAUCUUGUUAAACUCUGUCGUGCUGGGGAUAGAGCAUUGCAAUUAUUGCUCUUCAACGAGGAAUUCCUAGUAGGCGCAAGUCAUCAGCUUGCGCCGAUUACGU
Molecule: ribosomal RNA, 141 nt
Filed under: uncultured eukaryote
Lineage: Eukaryota
Description: partial 18S ribosomal RNA
Rfam family: Eukaryotic small subunit ribosomal RNA
Source: RNAcentral